AUUGAACGCUGGCGGCAUGCUUUACACAUGCAAGUCGAACGGUAACAGGCCGCAAGGUGCUGACGAGUGGCGAACGGGUGAGUAGUGCAUCGGAACGUGCCCAGUCGUGGGGGAUAACGCAUCGAAAGCUGUGCUAAUACCGCAUACGAUCUAUGGAUGAAAGCGGGGGACCGUAAGGCCUCGCGCGAUUGGAGCGGCCGAUGUCAGAUGAGGUAGUUGGUGGGGUAAAGGCUCACCAAGCCAACGAUCUGUAGCUGGUCUGAGAGGACGACCAGCCACACUGGGACUGAGACACGGCCCAGACUCCUACGGGAGGCAGCAGUGGGGAAUUUUGGACAAUGGGCGAAAGCCUGAUCCAGCAAUGCCGCGUGCAGGAAGAAGGCCUUCGGGUUGUAAACUGCUUUUGUACGGAGCGAAAAGGUCUCCUCUAAUACAGGGGGCUCAUGACGGUACCGUAAGAAUAAGCACCGGCUAACUACGUGCCAGCAGCCGCCGUAA
RNAcentral lists this ribosomal RNA (498 nucleotides) under uncultured bacterium. RNAcentral describes it as "partial 16S ribosomal RNA". It matches the Rfam family "Bacterial small subunit ribosomal RNA", at positions 30 to 523 of the family's 1533-position model. The record is from RNAcentral.